Molecule: ribosomal RNA, 253 nt
Filed under: uncultured bacterium
Lineage: Bacteria
Description: partial 16S ribosomal RNA
Rfam family: Bacterial small subunit ribosomal RNA
Source: RNAcentral
UACGAAGGGUGCAAGCGUUACUCGGAAUCACUGGGCGUAAAGCGUGCGUAGGUGGUUUUUUAAGUCUGUCGUGAAAGCCCUGGGCUCAACCUGGGAACGGCGAUGGAUACUGGGAAGCUAGAGUGCGGUAGAGGGGUGUGGAAUUCCCGGUGUAGCGGUGAAAUGCGUAGAGAUCGGGAGGAACACCAGUGGCGAAGGCGAGUCCCUGGAAAACUCCUGACACUGAGGCACGAAAGCUAGGGGAGCAAACAGG